GGCCGGCUAGUGAAAUGGUCAUCACGUCAGUUUCCGGGGAAGCAAUCAGCUGAAGGUUGCGAGUUCGAGUCUCGCGCUGGUCG
This is a non-coding RNA of Hydnum rufescens UP504, 83 nucleotides long. The record is from the annotation of a GenBank genome assembly. NCBI's taxonomy places the organism in Eukaryota, Fungi, Basidiomycota, Agaricomycetes, Cantharellales, Hydnaceae.